RNAcentral lists this long non-coding RNA (1036 nucleotides) under Zalophus californianus (California sea lion). RNAcentral describes it as "lncRNA (ENSZCAG00015007441.1)". The record is from RNAcentral. Lineage: Eukaryota; Metazoa; Chordata; Mammalia; Carnivora; Otariidae.
GUGGUCACCCACUCAGAAUCCGGCUACCUCUUACGAAAUUGAGAUUCAUGUUUCUGAUUGGCUCUUCGAGAUUCUGCCCCGCCCCCUGGCGGACAGCCACUCGGCCGGCUUUCUGCUCCUGAAUGGCACCUGCAGUUGGGUCCAGCGCCCCCCGCGGCUCUGCGGGCGGUUUCCCCCGGGAUUCGGGGCGUCCUGCUCUCUCUCCCCUCGCCUUGCGUCCUGCUGCCGCUGGAGCCCGUUCCCCGGGGCCGCCUUCGCCCGCGCGGCCCGAGGAGGCUGCGCCGGGUCCCGCCGGGAGUCCUGCCGCGGUCCACACGCCCCUUCGCCCAGGCCGGCGGGCCGAGCAGCAAAUGGGGGCGGGGGGCGACGGGGCGGCCCCGGCUUCCCGGACCGGGGCCAAGGUCGGGCCCCAGUGCCAAGAGCGGGGCUGGCAGUCGGGCCGGAAUUCCUGCCCCGGCGGCCCGGUCCUCCCCUGCAGGAAACCGCCGGGUGCCCGCCGGGCGGGGGACCCGGGGGUCGGGGCGCCAGGCAGGACUUCUCGGCGGGCCGGAGCUGUGGCCUGCGGUGCGUCUCCGUGGUUCUGUCGGUGCCCCCCUCCUCCGGUGCGGUAAUCUCUACCCCCAGCGUGGAGCUCGAACUCAGGAAGGCUUGCAACCCGAGAGGCAGGAAAACAAGGAAGCGGGGUGCACAGGUGGGGAGGCUGCAGUCCCGGACCUCAUCCCCACCCGGCCCUCCGCCAGGGUCCCCACGCCAGUGCGGGAGAGUCGCACUAUGCUUCAAGGACUGAGCCAGCCAGGUGCCCCCCCCCCUUUCAUUUUAAAUGCACAACUCUUUGUCUUUAAUAAUAUCCUCAUACAUAAAUCUUUUGUGCAUUUCUAAUGAUGUCCUAAAAAUACACUGCUCGGUCAUAUUCCUGAGUCCAAGAGAAUGAACAUUUCUAAGGCUUGUAAUACAUGCUGCCAAAUCAUGUUUUUCCUCAAAAUGACAAUACUGGAUAUCCUAGUGAAAAAAGCACCAAUCUGGUAAAAAGAUCCUG